Molecule: ribosomal RNA, 447 nt
Filed under: uncultured bacterium
Lineage: Bacteria
Description: partial 16S ribosomal RNA
Rfam family: Bacterial small subunit ribosomal RNA
Source: RNAcentral
AACGAACGCUGGCGGCAGGCUUAACACAUGCAAGUCGAACGCCCCGCAAGGGGAGUGGCGCACGGGUGAGUAACGCGUGGAUAUCUGCCUUUUGGUUCGGAAUAACCCCGGGAAACUGGGGCUAAUACCGGAUGGUUCCUACGGGAUAAAGAUUUAUCGCCAAAAGAUGAGUCCGCGUACGAUUAGCUAGUUGGUGAGGUAAUGGCUCACCAAGGCGACGAUCGUUAGCUGGUCUGAGAGGACGAUCAGCCACACUGGGACUGAGACACGGCCCAGACUCCUACGGGAGGCAGCAGUGGGGAAUAUUGGACAAUGGGGGCAACCCUGAUCCAGCCAUGCCGCGUGAGUGAUGAAGGCCUUCGGGUUGUAAAGCUCUUUUGGCGGGGACGAUGAUGACGGUACCCGCAGAAUAAGCCCCGGCUAACUUCGUGCCAGCAGCCGCAGUAA